CAGCAGCCACGGGAAUACGUAGGUGGCAAGCGUUGUCCGGAUUUAUUGGGCGUAAAGCGAGCGCAGGCGGUCAAUUAAGUCUGAUGUGAAAGCCCACGGCUCAACCGUGGAGGGUCAUUGAAACUGUUAAACUUGAGUGCAGGAGAGAAAAGUGGAAUUCCUAGUGUAGCGGUGAAAUGCGUAGAGAUUAGGAGGAACACCAGUGGCGAAGGCGGCUUUUUGGCCUGUAACUGACACUGAGGCGCGAAAGCGUGGAGAGCAAACAGGAUUAGAUACCCGUGUAGUCCCUGUCUCUUAUACC
Molecule: ribosomal RNA, 301 nt
Filed under: uncultured bacterium
Lineage: Bacteria
Description: partial 16S ribosomal RNA
Rfam family: Bacterial small subunit ribosomal RNA
Source: RNAcentral